CCUACGGGCGGCAGCAGUGAGGAAUAUUGGUCAAUGGACGAGAGCCUGAACCAGCCAAGUAGCGUGAAGGAUGACUGCCCUAUGGGCUGUAAACUUCUUUUAUAUGGGAAUAAAAUGUUCCAAGUGUGGGCUUUUGUAUGUAUCAUAUGAAUAAAGAUCGUCUAACUCCGUGCCAGCAGCCGCGGUAAUGCGGGGGAUCCGGGCGUUAUCCGGUUUUAUUGGGUUUAAAGGGAGCGUAGGUGGAUUGUUAAGUCAGUUGUGAAAGUGUGCGGCUCAAACGUAAAAAUGCAGUUGAAACUGGCAGUCUAGAGUACAGUAGAGGUGGGCGGAAUUCGUGGUGUAGCGGUGAAAUGCUUAGAUAUCACGAAGAACACCGAUGGCGAAGGCAGCUGACUGGACUGCAACUGACACUGAGGCUCGAAAGUGUGGGUAUCAAACAGGAUUAGAUACCCUUGUAGUC
This 460-nucleotide ribosomal RNA is filed under the name uncultured bacterium. RNAcentral describes it as "partial 16S ribosomal RNA". It matches the Rfam family "Bacterial small subunit ribosomal RNA", at positions 338 to 795 of the family's 1533-position model. The record is from RNAcentral.